UUUUCGGAGAGUUUGAUCCUGGCUCAGAGUGAACGCUGGCGGCGUAGAUUAGGCAUGCAAGUCGAGCGAUACAUUUUUCUUGAGAUGGUGAAGCCGUAAGGCUGAUCUGUUGAAGGAAAAAUGAUAUAGCGGCAGAUUGGUGAGUAACACGUGAGUAAUUUACCUCUAAGUCGGGGAUAGCUUUGCGAAAGCGAGGGUAAUACCCGAUGUGCUUAUAGCUGCAUAAGAAGUUGUAAGUAAAGAAGGCUCGUAAGAGUUUUUGUUUAGAGAUGAGCUCGCGUCCUAUCAGCUAGUUGGCAGGGUAAUGGCCUACCAAGGCUUUUGACGGGUAGCUGGCCUGAGAGGGUGGUCAGCCACAUGGGGACUGAGACACUGCCCCGACUCCUACGGGAGGCUGCAGUCGAGGAUAUUUAGCAAUGGGCGAAAGCCUGACUAUGUGACGCCGCGUGAGGGAUGAAGGUCUUCGGAUUGUAAACCUCUUUCGAUAGGGAAGA
This 494-nucleotide ribosomal RNA is filed under the name Candidatus Omnitrophota bacterium. RNAcentral's name for it is "bacterial SSU rRNA". It matches the Rfam family "Bacterial small subunit ribosomal RNA", at positions 1 to 448 of the family's 1533-position model. The record is from RNAcentral. Lineage: Bacteria; Pseudomonadati; Candidatus Omnitrophota.